RNAcentral lists this ribosomal RNA (459 nucleotides) under uncultured bacterium. RNAcentral's name for it is "partial 16S ribosomal RNA". It matches the Rfam family "Bacterial small subunit ribosomal RNA", at positions 338 to 795 of the family's 1533-position model. The record is from RNAcentral.
CCUACGGGGGGCAGCAGUGAGGAAUAUUGGUCAAUGGCCGUAAGGCUGAACCAGCCAAGUAGCGUGAGGGAAGACUGCCCUAUGGGUUGUAAACCUCUUUUAUGCGGGGAUAAAGGUGUCCACGUGUGGAGGUUUGCAGGUACCGCAUGAAUAAGGACCGGCUAAUUCCGUGCCAGCAGCCGCGGUAAUACGGAGGGUCCGGGCUUUAUCCGGAUUUAUUGGGUUUAAAGGGUGCGUAGGCGGAAUAUCAAGUCAGCGGUAAAACUUCGGGGCUAAACCCCGUCGUGCCGUUGAAACUGAUGUUCUUGAGUGGGCGAGAAGUAUGCGGAAUGCGUGGUGUAGCGGUGAAAUGCAUAGAGAUCACGCAGAACUCCGAUUGCGAAGGCAGCAUACCGGCGCCCAACUGACGCUGAAGCACGAAAGCGUGGGUAUCGAACAGGAUUAGAUACCCGGGUAGUC